UUAAACAAAAUACAUUUAAAUUAAGAUUUAAUUUAAAAUAUUAUUAGAAUUAAGAGUUAUAAAUUUAUAAAAAAUAAUUAAUUAAGUAGAAUUUUUAGUUAUUAUUAAAAUUUAUUUUUGUUGGGUAAGAAAAUUUAUUAAAUAUUUAGUUAGACUAGGAUUAGAUACCCUAUUAUAUAAUAAUUAUAUUGUUAUAUAGAUUAAUUGAUUUAAAGUUAAAUUCUGAAAAAUUAAAAAAGAUGGUAGUAAUUUAAUUAAUUUAGAGGAACUUGAUUAAUAAUUGAUAAUUCACGAUAAAUUUUACUUAUUUUUUUUUUAAUUUAUAUAUCGUUGUUAUAAAAAUUUUUUUAAAUGAUUUUAAAAUUUUAAUUCUUUAACUAUUUUGAAGGGUAAAUCAAAUCAUGAUUUAAUUUAUAAAUAAGAUUUAAAUUGAGUUACAAUAAAUUUAUUUAUUGGAUAGUUAAGUUGAAAAUUUAAUUAGAAAUUGGAUUUAAAAGUAAUUUGAUUUUAAUUAUAUUAAAUGAUUAUUAUUUUAAGUUAGGCACAUAUUGCCCGUCACUCUUUAUUUAAUGAAGAUAAGUCGUAACAAAGUAGAGGUACUGGAAAGUGUUUCUGGAAUUUA
RNAcentral lists this ribosomal RNA (622 nucleotides) under Neucentropus mandjuricus. Its description in RNAcentral is "12S ribosomal RNA". The record is from RNAcentral. Lineage: Eukaryota; Metazoa; Arthropoda; Insecta; Trichoptera; Polycentropodidae.